RNAcentral lists this ribosomal RNA (372 nucleotides) under uncultured organism. RNAcentral describes it as "bacterial SSU rRNA". It matches the Rfam family "Bacterial small subunit ribosomal RNA", at positions 527 to 896 of the family's 1533-position model. The record is from RNAcentral.
CGGGGGAGCAAGCGUUGUUCGGAUUUACUGGGCGUAAAGGGCGCGUAGGCGGCGCAACAAGUCACUUGUGAAAUCUCCGGGCUUAACUCGGAGCGGCCAAGUGAUACUGUCGUGCUAGAGUGCGGAAGGGGCAACUGGAAUUCUCGGUGUAGCGGUGAAAUGCGUAGAUAUCGAGAGGAACACCUGCGGCGAAGGCGGGUUGCUGGGCCGACACUGACGCUGAGGCGCGAAAGCCAGGGGAGCGAACGGGAUUAGAUACCCCGGUAGUCCUGGCCUUGAACGAUGGAUGCUUGGUGUCCGGGGUUACAUAGUCCCCGGGUGCCGUCGCUAACGCCUUAAGCAUCCCGCCUGGGGAGUACGCACGCAAGUGUG